AGGCUUAACACAUGCAAGUCGAGGGGCAGCAUGGUCUUAGCUUGCUAAGGCCGAUGGCGACCGGCGCACGGGUGAGUAACACGUAUCCAACCUGCCGUCUACUCUUGGACAGCCUUCUGAAAGGAAGAUUAAUACAAGAUGGCAUCAUGAGUCCGCAUGUUCACAUGAUUAAAGGUAUUCCGGUAGACGAUGGGGAUGCGUUCCAUUAGAUAGUAGGCGGGGUAACGGCCCACCUAGUCUUCGAUGGAUAGGGGUUCUGAGAGGAAGGUCCCCCACAUUGGAACUGAGACACGGUCCAAACUCCUACGGGAGGCAGCAGUGAGGAAUAUUGGUCAAUGGGCGAGAGCCUGAACCAGCCAAGUAGCGUGAAGGAUGACUGCCCUAUGGGUUGUAAACUUCUUUUAUAAAGGAAUAAAGUCGGGUAUGGAUACCCGUUUGCAUGUACUUUAUGAAUAAGGAUCGGCUAACUCCGUGCCAGCAGCCGCGGUAAUACGGAGGAUCCGAGCGUUAUCCGGAUUUAUUGGGUUUAAAGGGAGCGUAGAUGGAUGUUUAAGUCAGUUGUGAAAGUUUGCGGCUCAACCGUAAAAUUGCAGUUGAUACUGGAUAUCUUGAGUGCAGUUGAGGCAGGCAGAAUUCGUGGUGUAGCGGUGAAAUGCUUAGAUAUCACGAAGAACUCCGAUUGCGAAGGCAGCCUGCUAAGCUGCAACUGACAUUGAGGCUCGAAAGUGUGGGUAUCAAACAAGAUUAGAUACCCUGGUAGUCCACACGGUAAACGAUGAAUACUCGCUGUUUGCGAUAUACUGCAAGCGGCCAAGCGAAAGCGUUAAGUAUUCCACCUGGGGAGUACGCCGGCAACGGUGAAACUCAAAGGAAUUGACGGGGGCCCGCACAAGCGGAGGAACAUGUGGUUUAAUUCGAUGAUACGCGAGGAACCUUACCCGGGCUUAAAUUGCAGAUGAAUUACGGUGAAAGCCGUAAGCCGCAAGGCAUCUGUGAAGGUGCUGCAUGGUUGUCGUCAGCUCGUGCCGUGAGGUGUCGGCUUAAGUGCCAUAACGAGCGCAACCCUUGUUGUCAGUUACUAACAGGUUCCGCUGAGGACUCUGACAAGACUGCCAUCGUAAGAUGUGAGGAAGGUGGGGAUGACGUCAAAUCAGCACGGCCCUUACGUCCGGGGCUACACACGUGUUACAAUGGGGGGUACAGAGGGCCGCUACCACGCGAGUGGAUGCCAAUCCCCAAAACCUCUCUCAGUUCGGACUGGAGUCUGCAACCCGACUCCACGAAGCUGGAUUCGCUAGUAAUCGCGCAUCAGCCACGGCGCGGUGAAUACGUUCCCGGGCCUUGUACACACCGCCCGUCAAGCCAUGGGAGCCGGGGGUACCUGAAGUGCGUAACCGCGAGGAGCGCCCUAGGGUAAAACUGGUGACUGGGGCUAAGUCA
Molecule: ribosomal RNA, 1440 nt
Filed under: uncultured organism
Description: SSU rRNA
Rfam family: Bacterial small subunit ribosomal RNA
Source: RNAcentral